Long non-coding RNA from Cyprinus carpio (common carp), 1205 nucleotides. The record is from Ensembl. Lineage: Eukaryota; Metazoa; Chordata; Actinopteri; Cypriniformes; Cyprinidae.
UACAAAUAGAUACCAGUGAAAGUCAGUUCUUAGAUCCUUGCAUGUGUCAUCACGACACUGAAAUAAAAAGAUUAAAUGUGAUUUUGCAAGGUUAAGGUUUUUUCUUUUUUCUUUUUCUCUUCUUGUUACACUACCGUCUUGCUGGCAUCAAUAUUGUUUAUGUCUGGUCGCUGUACUUUCAGAAAAAAAAGCCUGCAUUUUAAUGAGUAUUCAUUGGCCCUGUUUACUUUAAGAUUAAGUCUUUAACUGUGCAAGAAUGUGCUCUUGAUUAUUAGAAUCUGUCAAGCAAAAUUGUUACUUUAUUUUGCAUUCCAUAGUUGUGCAGUGAGCAGCAGUCAGUCAUAACAAGCCACAGCGAUAUUCAUCCAUCCUCUCGCACCCAGCUCUCCCGCCCCCUUCUCCUUCACACACACUCACUCGACCCCAAUCACCCGCCAACCCCGUGACGGCCAACUGCUUGCCCUUCUCACUCACUCCUCUCUUCCUGCACAAGCUUUCCAUCCCUCUCUCAUUCCUCUGGUUUGGGUUACCACCUCGCUGGGCUCUGACCGGCUUCACUGGACGCUUCAGCCGAGGCCUGGCGUGACACACUGUAUUCCAAGUCCCACCCGUGUGGAUCUUAUUCGUGACUUUCCGUAGUCAUCAUCCAUUCCAGUCUUAUUGCGGUUCACCUGUUCAUUACAUGUCAACAGAAAGUGACAGUCUUCCUUCAGCCAAAGGGGGAAUGGCAGCUUCCUGUGACAGAGACGGAUGGAGAGCUGAAGGAGACCUCGAUGAGUGUUUCAAGAGGACCACAUUGUUUGGUGGUCAAAGUAGCUUAGGAAUGGCUGAAUGUUCUGACUAAAGAGCAGCUCCAGAACUUUUCUGUUUAAAUUUGGGCUUUCAGAAGGUGGCAUGGGGUAGUAAACUGGAUUGUUCUUUGCUCUGUUAUUCCAAAUGAAUCAUUCAAAUGUGUGUUCAGUAAGAUUUAAAAAAAAAAUAAUUAUUACUUUUAUUUAGCAAGGAUACAUUAUAUUUAACAGACUAUUUUUAUUUAUUUAUUUUAUUUUAAAAUAUAUCACAGUAUCUACAAACAAUAUUAGACAGAAAACACUGUUUUCAACAAUGAUAAUAAUAAGAAAUGUUUCUUGGGCAGCAAAUCAGCAUAUCAGAAUGAUUUCUGAAGAAUCAUGUGACACUGAAAACUAGAGUAAUGAUGCUGAAAA